AUUGAACGCUGGCGGCAGGCCUAACACAUGCAAGUCGAACGAGUGGCGGACGGGUGAGUAAUGUCUGGGAAACUGCCUGAUGGAGGGGGAUAACUACUGGAAACGUUAGCUAAUACCGCAUACCAUCAGAUGUGCCCAGAUGGGAUUAGCGAUUGGGUGGGGUAACGGCUCACCAAGGCGACGAUCCCUCGCUGGUCGGAGAGGAUGACAAGCCACACUGGAACGGAGACACGGUCCAGACUCCUACGGGAGGAAGCAGUGGGGAAUAUUGCACAAGGGGCGCAAGCCUGAUACAGCCAUGCCGCGUGUAUGAAGAAGGCCUUCGGGUUGUAAAGUACGUUCAGCGGGGAGGCGUUACCCGCAGAAGAAGCACCGGCUAACUCCGUGCCAGCAGCCGCGGUAAUUC
RNAcentral lists this ribosomal RNA (406 nucleotides) under uncultured bacterium. RNAcentral's name for it is "partial 16S ribosomal RNA". It matches the Rfam family "Bacterial small subunit ribosomal RNA", at positions 30 to 526 of the family's 1533-position model. The record is from RNAcentral.